AACGAACGCUGGCGGCAUGCCUAACACAUGCAAGUCGAACGAGACCUUCGGGUCUAGUGGCGCACGGGUGCGUAACGCGUGGGAACCUGCCCUUAGGUUCGGAAUAACUCCCCGAAAGGGGUGCUAAUACCGGAUAAUGUCUUCGGACCAAAGAUUUCUCGCCUUUGGAUGGGCCCGCGUUGGUUUAGCUAGUUGGUAGGGUAAAAGCCUACCAAGGCGACGAUCCAUAGCUGGUCUGAGAGGAUGAUCCGCCACACUGGGACUGAGACACGGCCCAGACUCCUACGGGAGGCAGCAGUGGGGAAUAUUGGACAAUGGGCGAAAGCCUGAUCCAGCAAUGCCGCGUGAGUGAUGAAGGCCUUAGGGUUGUAAAGCUCUUUUACCCGGGAUGAUAAUGACAGUACCGGGAGAAUAAGCUCCGGCUAACUCCGUG
This 433-nucleotide ribosomal RNA is filed under the name uncultured bacterium. Its description in RNAcentral is "partial 16S ribosomal RNA". It matches the Rfam family "Bacterial small subunit ribosomal RNA", at positions 29 to 507 of the family's 1533-position model. The record is from RNAcentral.